UUACGACCAUAUCACAAUGAAACACCGGUUCUCGUCCGAUCACUGGUCAAGCAACGUCGAGGUUGGUCAGUAACUAGAUGGGUGUCCGCUUGGGAAUACCAAUUGCUGUUA
Non-coding RNA from Acanthosepion pharaonis, 111 nucleotides. The record is from the annotation of a GenBank genome assembly. Lineage: Eukaryota; Metazoa; Mollusca; Cephalopoda; Sepiida; Sepiidae.